GGCCUGAUGGUCUAGUAGUAUGAUUCUCCCUUCGGGUUUUACUCGCAACUGAGGUUGCUCAAAUGGGAGAGGUCCCGGGUUCAAUUCCCGGUUAGGCCC
Rhodocollybia butyracea is the source of this 99-nucleotide non-coding RNA. The record is from the annotation of a GenBank genome assembly. NCBI's taxonomy places the organism in Eukaryota, Fungi, Basidiomycota, Agaricomycetes, Agaricales, Omphalotaceae.